AUUUAAAUAGUUUAAUAAUAAAAUAUUAGUUUGUGGGACUAAUGAUAUGAGUUUUCAUUUUAGAUA
RNAcentral lists this transfer RNA (66 nucleotides) under Ptomascopus plagiatus. Its description in RNAcentral is "tRNA-His". It matches the Rfam family "tRNA". Rfam says of the family: Transfer RNA (tRNA) molecules are approximately 80 nucleotides in length. Their secondary structure includes four short double-helical elements and three loops (D, anti-codon, and T loops). The record is from RNAcentral. Lineage: Eukaryota; Metazoa; Arthropoda; Insecta; Coleoptera; Silphidae.